Non-coding RNA from Daldinia decipiens, 138 nucleotides. NCBI's taxonomy places the organism in Eukaryota, Fungi, Ascomycota, Sordariomycetes, Xylariales, Hypoxylaceae. The record is from the annotation of a RefSeq genome assembly.
AGCGCAGUGGCAGAGUUAUCUAACGCGCAAGACUGUUAGUCUUCUUCCCCUUUGUGUCAACUGUACAGUAAUUUUUUAACACUUUCCAGAGAAAUAUUCUUCUUUUCGGGAGCGUCUGUUCAAAUCAGGCCUGCGUCG